Molecule: long non-coding RNA, 4005 nt
Organism: Leucoraja erinaceus (little skate)
Lineage: Eukaryota; Metazoa; Chordata; Chondrichthyes; Rajiformes; Rajidae
Exons: 3
Source: RefSeq, a predicted model, not a curated record
UACUAUUUUUUAAACACUUUUGGUUACAUUUAAAAUCUUUCAACAAUAGUCAAUAACUACUAAUCAACGAUUAUCGAUGGGUUUAAAAAAAUCUAAAUUGCUAUCAAAAAAUAAUUUCUCACAACAACACAUUUUGAUUGUGUGGUCACGUUCACUUCACUUGUAAUUCAGAGUUUGGUUAUAAUUGUUCUUAACAACAUAAUACCGUAUGGAACUAGGAGACCGAGCCGGCCAUUCAAUUCCUCAAGUCUGCCCCACCAUUCAAAAUAAUCAUGACUGAUCUGCCCAGGCCCAUUUUCUCUUCUUUGUCAUUUCCCCAUUGCCCUCAAUCCUCUUGUCUUUCAAAAAAAUCAGUGCAAUCCCUGCACAAGAUCCCUGCGCUGUACUGCAUUUCACAUCCUCCUGAUUCAGCCUGGUGUGACCAUGGGCAUCUUCUUUCACCCUUCUCCCCCACGAUAGAGAGGAGCUGAACACCAGGCUAAACUAGAUCUCAAUUUUAAUAGAGUACAGCUAGACCAUUACAAAAAAAAUCCUGAUACCAAUGCUAUCUUUUCUUUGGAAAGACACCAAUACUGGAGUAACUCAGUGCAUCAAACAGCAUCUCCAGAGAACGUGGAUAGGUGAUGUUUCAGGUCAGGACUCUUCUUCAAACUUUUCUGUGUAUUCUAAAAAAAAUUGAGAUCAUUCACUAUGGUGUACAAACCAAAAAUGCAGAGUAUUGUUAAAAUGGUAUAGUGGGAAACAUUGAAAUUAAAAAAGACCUGGAUGUCCUUGCGUGCAAAGCAUUGAACGCUAACGUCCAGGUGCAGGAAGCAGUUAGGAGGGCAAAUGAUAUGUUGGCUUUUAACAUGGGAUUUGAACACUGAGUAAAGAGGUAUUAGUGUGAUUAUAUAGGAUCUCGAUGAGAUUACAUUCUAGUAUUUUGUCGGAUUUUGCUCUCCUUACUUACAAAAGAUAUGCUUGCUGUAGACCGAGUGCAAUGAAGAUUUAUUGGCCUGGUUCCUGACAAGGUGGGUUUACCACGUGAGGAGAGAUUGGAUAAUUAGGCCUGUGUACUCUGGAGUUUGGAAAAAUGAGAGGAGAUCUCAUUUAAAUUCUCAAAAUCCUCCCAGGGCUUGAUAAGGUGGACUCAGGAUGUUUCAUCCAGCUGAGAAGUUUAGGAAUCACAAUCACAGAAUAACAUAUAGCCCUUUUAGGACCUAGAUAAUGUGAUAUUUUUUCCUCGGUCUUUGGAAUUGUGUAGUCCAUUAUUUUGUGAUGGCUCAGUCAUUGGAUUCAUUUAGAACAUGUCAGAAAUUAUCCGAUAUUAGAAAUGUAUUCAUAUCUUAAUAUUAAGGGAAUCAGGUAAUACAGAGAUUGUCCAGGAAAAUGGCAUUGAUAUAGAAGAUUAGCCACAUUAUUGAUGAAUGGCAGAGCAGGCUCGAAGAGCUAGAUGGACAUCUUGUUAAGUCGGAAUUUUGGUUUUAUGUUCUUAUGAAGGAGAUUAGAAAUCUACAUGCUGGAAUUGCCUGGAAGCAAAUGCAAAGUUAAUCAAUUUUAAUAGGUCAUUUAAUUUAGAUAAUCUAAAAAUUGAUAUCGAUGGAUGAAUCUACCAACUCAAUUUGACACCAUGCUUCUAAGAUGUCACUCUCUAUCCUUAACCAAUGGGUUCCACUCUAUCUUAGUUGCUAGAGGACACAGGGGGGUAAGUUGGGAACCAGUGUAGUAGGUCAGAAAUUGGAAGGAGCGAUGGGAAGGUAGAAGUUAUGACUAGUAGGUCUCAACGGAAUGACAGGCUGGGAAAGGGAAUAUGAUUAAUCUGAGGGGCGGAAGUGUGUUUAUUUCAAUGCAAGUUAUAUUGUGAGAAAUGUAGAUGAACAGAACUUGGAUCGGUGCUUGGGGCCAUGAUAUUCUGACUAUUGCAGAAACGUGGUUGCAAGUCACGACUGGCAGAUCAUUGCUCCAGGCUUUCAAUGUUUCGGAGAUGGUAGAGAGGGAGGGAAAAGAAAUGGAGGAGUUGCUCCUAAUCAGGGAGACUGUCACAGCAGCCACAGAGAGGACAUACUGGAGGAUACGUCUGCUGAGGCGACAUUGGUAGAGCUUAAAAAUAAGAAAGGUGCAAGUACUAUGUGAUUUCCUUAUAGGCCCCCCAAUACCAAGCAGGAGAUUGAGGAACAGAUAUGUAGACAGAUUACCAAUAGAUGUCAAACCAAAAGGAUUGUCUUAAUGGGUGAUUUUAACUUCCCCAGUAUUGACUGGAACUCGUUCAGUGCCAAAGGUUUAGACGGGGCAGAAUUUAGCAGUAUCCAAGCCACUUUCUUGAAGCAAUAUGUGUAUAGCCCAACCCGUGAAGGAAACAUACUGGACCAUGUGUUGAACAAUGAGUGUGGCUAGGUGACUGGGGUAAUGUUUAAAGGAGAUGUGCGCGGUGCAAGUGUUUUUGCACAGAGUGAUCUGUGCCUGCAACCCGCUGCAGACAGUGGUGAUAGUGGCAGAUACUAUAGUGACAUUUAAUAGAUUUGCGUAUAGGCACACAGAAAUGCAGGGAAUGGAGAAAUAUGGUUUAUAUCAGGCAGAUAAGAAUUGGUCAUGACAUCAUUUUGAGCACAGAUAUUAUAGGCCAAGGGUCAAUUUCUGAACUCUACAAUCAAUCUGAAGAAAGGUCUUGACCCGAAACAUCACCUACUCAUGUUCUCCAUAGAUGCUGCCGAACCUGUUGAGUUACUCCAGCACUUUGUGUCUUGUUUGGUAAACCAGCAUCUGCUUUUCCUUGUAUUCACACUCUUCCCUUCCUGAGUUACUCCAGCAUUCUUCGGAGUAAAUCAGCAUCUGCAGUUCCUUCCUACACUACUAUUUUAUGUGUUAUAGUCAAAACUCAAGCUUAAAGAACAUCACUUAAUUAUGCACCAAGAACAAUACGUCAGCACUCUAUACGUUCGUAGACCCAGCCCUUCCAGUUUACCUCCGCCGGGCAAAUUCAAAGGUCACAACGAAUAACAUUUACUAGGUUGUUCACGCUUCACGGAUGCUGCCUGACAUACUGAGUACUUCCAGCAAUAUUUAGAGUUUGUCUUUCAUCAAUUAUUUUGUAAAGGAAGCCUGCACUGGGCGGGGAUCCUUUUCCACAACCCGUGCUACAGAUUCUCACAGGACAUGAGCAACUGGCAGUAGUCAGUAUUGAGUUUGCUCCAAAUCUUUGUUUGUUCGAACAUUAGAAUAACAAUGAAAAAAAUUCGAAAUUGUAAUCAUUCAGCCACCGAUGACUCACCAUCAGGGAAUUCUUCCAUUUCCAUCUGUUCCUCGUCCGAAUCAAAACUACUCAUCCUUGCAAUUUUGUUGGUGAUUUAGCGUGGAGGUUGCUGAAGAACUGCUUGCUGAAGAAGACGCAACAGCUGUUAUUUUAACAAUCAUACUAAUUAUCCCGGUUUCCCGCGGCGACUCGCUCUAAAAAUAGCGCAUUAGCAGCGCAGUUGAUACAAUUUUUGUUAGUUCGUAAAAUGAAUCUACUUUGUUGAGAGACAGGGUCAUGCAAAAUAAAGUUUUCAUUAAAGCUCAAAAUAAGUUUCAUCAGACAACUGUUGACGAACACAAAGUGCUCGUGACUAUAAUACGAAAGAACUGCACCAUCUCAAGAAUUGAGACCAGUGUGUGGGGCGGGAACGUUUUAAAGUUGAAUUUCAAACUAAGAGCGAGUUGUGUGUUAUAAACCGCCACACCUCCGGGAUAUGUACGGAUAACACUGGAAACUAUUACACUGGAAAUUGUAAAUGCAAGAACGAAGAAUAUUACAGAUUGAUGUUAAACGUUUAAAUCUGAAAUGAUUAUAUAAGUAUCAUAGUUGUCUAUUAUGUAGGAUCGUCGCUGGGAUUAAAUUAUAAUAAAGGCAUAUCACUGUCGGUAAUUUAUAUACAAUUAUUGUUCAUUGGGUUAGGAUUGGAUGGCAAGUACAGAGUAUUCCUCACAUGGGCUACUGAUAUUGCUAAUCCGACGCUAAAGAAAACAGACAUCUUGGUUCAAUAAAGCUUU